CACAUCUCGAUGACGUCAGUAACUUACUUUGAAGCGAUUUCGCGUUCUGAUAACGGAGGCACGUAUCUUUGAUGCGAACUGAGCGGACAACAGUCCAGGGUACUGUGUGUACUAAGGCUUGGGCGAGCGGGAGAAAUCUUAAGUCGGCAUGGACGAUUUUGACGACGCCAUACUGUCGGUGUUCGAGAAGUGAAUUAUUGAACAGCGUGAAAACCCUGAAAGAGUGUAUCUGCUGCAGUGAGGAGAAUAAAACGCUUACCUGAACCAGGAAAUCUGCUUCUCGCCGCCUCCUUUCACUGAGAAGUGUUACAAUAUUUAAAUCAAAUAUUGUUCUAAACAUGCAAAAAAUUAUUUUAGCUCCUCAUUCAGCUCAUAAUUAAAUAACACACACUGCAUUAUUAUAAGCAAGGAGUGCUCCAAGAAGCACAAUGGCAUGCAGAUGAGAGGGACUUCAUAAUAAAAUCCAUACUCCUCUCUCUCGCGUAUACUUGCGUGACAGGGCUUACUUCUCCAUACCAGGUGUGCCAUAGGUUGAUGACCCAUAAAACUCAAAAGGAUUUUUCAAAUGACAGACAUAGCUGAAAACAAAGAUGUGCACAAAAUGUAACACCCAUUUGACUCAUCAGUUACAUUUUUUUCAUAUUUUCUAUUGUUAUAUUGGAUCAAAAUGGAUACCUUUUGCUGUCCAUCUGCCUCAAAGACAUAGCAUGCACAUUGUAUGCAUUAUCGUAGUGAUGGAAAUAUUUUUAAAAUGAAGUGCAUCUCAAACAUCUCAAUCAUGAAGAUUGUUUGUUGAGAUGGCUGCAGGUUAUGUUGUUUACAGAACUGUUUUUCUCAUAAAAGAUCGCAGAGGUAACCACUUUACCAGAUCGGACUGAAUCGGUUGGAACAGUUUGGGUCUCGGUUCCACACUGAUGCACAAGCUAUUCAAUCAUAACCCGUCUCUCGGGCUUGCCUGACAGUCCGACAGGAAAUUAGCCAAUAACUGCGAGUAAUAUGAUCCUAGGACUAGUGAUGUAUGCUUUUCCUAACUCUUCUUUGCAAUCAACCACUCCAACUAAUCGGGAUGAACGGUCCGGACACAACAGUUCUCAAGUCAACAGUUCACUGAACUGAGAACCGCCUCUUCCGGACAUCUAUGGAAUGCUGAGAACUGAUGAGGAAGCUGCUGAUACCAUGAUCAUGUGUGUACACAGAUUUCAAUGAGGGUGCGAUACUUAUGUUUCUCAUGUAUUUGACUGAAUAACAGAAAGUAUAACAAAUAAAAUGUAGCCUAUGUAGUCUCCGUUUAUUGUGCACUUCUCAAAAAUCCGCUUUUGUCAAGCGUAACAUUAGUUGUGAUACUAUAUCAUACACAUUUUCCACUUUUUAAAUGUUAAUGUUUAAAACCUUUCAUGAACUAUAUGAGAACAUGCCUUCAAUCUCACUUCACAAGCUAGGGAUUGGCGACACCCCUUAUUUUCUUUUUGGUCUGAUACCAAUAUUGCCUAUACUAAUAGCGAUACUUCUGUUACCGUAUUUUCCUGAAUACAAGUAAAUUUAAAAAGGUCUUGCAACGCAUAGUCCGAAGCGACUUACAUAAAUAAUUUCUAUGUAACUGAUGUCGACCAAUCAAACAGUCAAGUAAUUUAUUUAUAAAGCACAUUUAAAAACAACAGUUGUUGAAUCAAAUUGCUUUACAAUAAAAAACAUAAUAAAUACAAUGAAUACAACAAUAAUACAAUAAAUAGAACAGUACAGCAAAGCCAUAGAGGAAAAAAAAAAUACAGGUUUGAACUUUAAUUCAAAAGCUAAAGAAAAUAAAUCUUCAAUUUAUUUUUAAAAAUUGUAAUAGAGGGGGAAAGCUAUUCCAAAGCUUAAGUGGCAACAGAAAAAGCCCUGUCUCCCUUAGUCAAUUGUAUCAGAUGCUGCACUAAGAUCUAGUACUACUAAAAUACACUGGAUCCAGAGUCGAGGGAAAGAAAAAAAAACAUGGUUAAACUUAUGGAUAGUACUGUCAUGAUUACUACAAUAUUACUAUAGUAAAACCAUAGUUUCUGCCAUAAAACCAUGGUUAAUAUAACGAACGUGAAGCAGACAGAGGAGUAGAAUCCAUGUGUGAGUGUUUAUUAUAUAAAACAACCAUUGCAGGCAGAUAAUCCAGACAGUAAUCAAAAGGUGUAAUCAAAGUCCAGGCAAAUGUCGUAAAGAAGGAAACAGCAAUCAAAGUUAAACAAAUCCAAAACAGUAAUCCACACUCGUAAAUCC
Molecule: long non-coding RNA, 2247 nt
Organism: Myxocyprinus asiaticus (Chinese sucker)
Lineage: Eukaryota; Metazoa; Chordata; Actinopteri; Cypriniformes; Catostomidae
Exons: 3
Source: RefSeq, a predicted model, not a curated record